ACGUAGGGUGCAAGCGUUGUCCGGAAUCAUUGGGCGUAAAGAGCGUGUAGGCGGCCUGAUCAGUCCGCUGUAAAAGUCCAGGGCUCAACCCUGGAAGGCCGGUGGAUACUGUCAGGCUAGAGUCCGGAAGAGGCGAGUGGAAUUCCUGGUGUAGCGGUGAAAUGCGCAGAUAUCAGGAGGAACACCAAUGGCGAAGGCAGCUCGCUGGGACGGUACUGACGCUGAGACGCGAAAGCGUGGGGAGCAAACAGG
RNAcentral lists this ribosomal RNA (252 nucleotides) under uncultured bacterium. Its description in RNAcentral is "partial 16S ribosomal RNA". It matches the Rfam family "Bacterial small subunit ribosomal RNA", at positions 525 to 776 of the family's 1533-position model. The record is from RNAcentral.